AACCGGACGGUGACGCACAUCGCCCCCAAUGUGACGUCGGAGGCAUACCGCCGGUUGCCAACUCACAUCCCCCCUCAGUGAGUUGCCAAAGCUCAGCCAGUGCCCUUCCCUCGGCACUGGCUGUUUUG
Molecule: small RNA, 128 nt
Filed under: Sinorhizobium meliloti 2011
Lineage: Bacteria; Pseudomonadati; Pseudomonadota; Alphaproteobacteria; Hyphomicrobiales; Rhizobiaceae
Description: putative ncRNA
Source: RNAcentral